CCUCAGUCCACCACGGCAUCUGGUGAUUUGGUGCGGCGAUCUACGGGAUCUCAUCGGUGGAGGCGCGGGAGCACCAGCUGGAGGCUGCCUUGCAAGAUCAUGAAGGACAUAUUUGUUCAUUUCAAGAUAGAGAAUGCUGCAACCAUGGAGAACAUCACUGUGGGACACAAUGCAUAGAUAACCAUUCUGUCAAGCUGCUGUCCAUAUUGUAUCUCCAGAUGUAUCUUUGCAUGUGUUAUUUGCUAUUUCCAAAGAAUAAAAUGGAAGGUGAGCUUUCAUUGCUUUCCUAAGUUGUUUUAUACAGCUCAUAAGGAAGAUUUGCGCACAGAUAUGCAGUUGGUUCUCCCGUUAAAGAACAAUUUACUGACACAAGGGACUCAACAAGAUUUGAUCUACACUAAUGGUUAUUGUGUUUGAGGUUGCUCUUUUUGAAAUUUUAGAGGGCAACUUGAUGGUUAAUCAUUUCAAUUGCCGCAAAGCAUAGGAAGCAAACCUGCAUGAAAAUGAAUAUGAAGGAUAAAUACAUUGACAUCUGAGAUUAACAUUUGAUAAACAUCUGCCUUGCAUACCAAAUUAGUGCUAGUGCAAUGCAUGUACAGUCUGUACAGUUUCUAUGUACAAAGUAUACAAUCAUUACCGUUUGUGUACAAUAUGCAGUUUGUAUGGAAAUAGUGCCCUAAAAAAGUUUGUAUGGAAAUAGAAAAAUUGGCUCAUGGAAAAGCCGCUUAUUUAUGACUUGGAACACAUGAACAGAAUAAUUAAAUUUACAGAUAUGCAGUUAGACCAUGAAUAGUAAUUUUCAGUAAUAUGCACUGUACAUGUACUGAGGUGGUCCAAAUAGUUUCACCAGCGUGCUAGUCUUCAUCUUUGAUGGCAAUGAAAUACUUAUUCUCCAUUAUCUCUUUGACAUUCCACUCUAGCUUCUCCCACCAGUCAUAUGAUCCACAAAUCUGCUUUAGUUUUGGGCAGUCAUACAUUUGACCCAAUGGAAGCGUUGUCAAACGUGGGCAACCCUCUACUCUAAUAAUCUCAAGAUAAGGGAAGUCUCUUGGAUUGCAUAUGGCCGUCAGCUUCGGCAAGUCUGUCAGGACCAUUGUUCUCAAUUUUGGGAAGUCCACAUGGUGUAUGCAUCUGUUUGAGAUCUGGGUGCUAAAUACAUGAUACUGAUCAUUUAUCCGGACAACAAAUGAUCAAUCUCAGUUUCAAGUAAGUAUUUGUCUUUUUCUUAUUUUGUGGAUGCACUUGUGUUAGAUCUUGAAUUACCGCAAGGUUAUGGGCUAUAGAGCAUAUCAUCUCCAUAUCAGUACUUCUACACCUGAGUUACAUGGAAUUUACCACUUUUGACCAUUUUUAAAGUUGAGCUGCCGUGCUUAUACAAGAGUAGCUAUUAUGAGAAAAAACCAAGUGGUUUUUAGGUCAACAAUGAGUUGUGCAUGAAAGUCUGAAUAUUAUUAAUGUUUGGGUCACCUUAUUCUUAACAACUCAAGUGGAUCUCUGAAUCUUAACGAUUCAAGUGAUUAGAGGCGCAGGUCUUAGCUUGUGGAAGAUAUGAAGUACAAAAAUUACGCUAUAGAAGAGAAAAUUAGGAUGUACAGUACAAAUUUCGUUCUAAAUUGUAAAAAAGAAGAAGACAGAGACGAGUCAUAUAAUGUGUGGGUAAAUCAGUUACUCCCUCCGUUCCAAAUUAUUAGUCGUUUGACUUUUCUAGAUUCAUAGACUUUACUAUGCAUUUACACAUAUGCAUUUACUUAAUAGCUAGUCUUGUAUAUGCAUUUACAUAUAUUACUCCGUUCCAAAUCAGUUACUCCCUCCGUUCCAAAUUAUCCAGUUUACCAUUCAUAGACUUUACUAUGCAUUUACAUAAUUUGGGACGGAGUAGUUUCUGUUAAACUGGAUAAGAAUCUUUAGCUAACUGUUCGUGGUAAACUGUCGGCAAUUUUUUUGUGAGAGAGAUAUUUACCUGGUAAUCCCUGCUGAAUGCCUUAAGCUCAUUAUUGAAGUUGUUAAGGAGUGUUGUCUUCCCGACGCCACCUGGGCCCCACACUCCGAUGAUGCUCACACCAGUGCUUUCAAAUGAUUCCCACAAAUCUCUCAGCACCGGUUUGAUGCCAAAGGUUUGUGUCCGUGGUCUCUCCUCAACGAAAUCUGGCAACCUCCUGGAUGCAAAUGUUUUAAAUUGGUUCCCUUCCUCGAUUAGCUCACCAAUAUCUUCUAGCAUCUGGGCAAUAUGCUUGCCAAGACGGUAUCGUUUCCCAAGGCCCAGAACUGAACGACAUAACCAGGAGGACUGCAUCAAUCUAUCAUAUUUGUGGUCGAUGGAAUCACCUCGGACACUGGCUACCCUUCUCAGCCACAAAUUAACUCGAGGAUCACACUCGUUGAGGUGGCGAAAGAUGAGAAGCGUUUUGCAGUGGCUGCAGGCACCCCUGCUUCAUUGAUAAAGCCACAGAUGACAGGCUGCAAAGCAGCACAGAUCAUGCUUGUCUCGGCCAUGGAAGUUGUGGCAAGGAAGGAACAAGUAGUAGUUCUGGAAAGAAGAGGCUGCAAUACUGUCUACAACCCUGUAUUAUGCUUCCACAACACCUUUUGUGGGCUUCGUUUCAAUUUAGUUUGGGAGCCUGGCUAUUUAAGAAUGGCACCAAAGGCAGGGGAAAAGAUUGGAAAGUUCCUUGCAAAGUUGCAAAUUAGCUUCCUGUAGCUCACCUGGGGGGUCUAUUUCGUGGAAGGUGCAGGACACAGUUUGUCAACUAAUAGCAGUCUAUCUCCAAGGUUUGCUUGUGACGAGGAACAUGAAAAGUGGAUGCUUGCGAAUUAAUGUUCUAUUAAUUUGGGGAUA
Long non-coding RNA from Panicum virgatum (switchgrass), 2836 nucleotides. RefSeq lists it as uncharacterized. Lineage: Eukaryota; Viridiplantae; Streptophyta; Magnoliopsida; Poales; Poaceae. The record is from RefSeq and is a predicted model, not a curated record. The transcript is spliced from 4 exons.